Trifolium pratense (red clover) is the source of this 1217-nucleotide long non-coding RNA. RefSeq lists it as uncharacterized. NCBI's taxonomy places the organism in Eukaryota, Viridiplantae, Streptophyta, Magnoliopsida, Fabales, Fabaceae. The record is from RefSeq and is a predicted model, not a curated record. The transcript has 5 exons.
UGGCGACGGAAGAUAUAUCUCAACAUGCUUUAAAAAUUGUCUCUAGCUCUUAUUAAUAGUAAUCGCAAAAGAAAUCAUUAAAGGAAAUUGUAACAACCCAACUCUGAUUAAUAAUAACUACUGUUAAUUAGAGAAGCCAAUUGAGAGGUUUUACUGAUUAAUUAAGGAUUUACCACUAUUGAAGGAUACAAUUUUGAGUUGUAGAAAUAAGAGGGGCAAUGUAGACUUUUUAACCAUUUAAUAUUGAUGAGUAGUUAAAGGGAACAAAGUUGCAGAAAAUCACAAGACUCCUUCCUUCUCAUCUGUCCAGAACCGAACCACUCCCUCCAUCACCACAAAAACUCCAUUUUUCAAUUUCUCCUAAAUCCUUCAAUUUCUCAUCUGUCUUGCAUGCACAUUUUCUCUCAACCCAUCACCGUUGGAACAUGGUGGACACAAGUUUCAGCCCGGAUUCUUUCUUCAUCCUCUGUCAAGGUCAAAAACACCAUUUAAGUGGGACAAGUUAAUUCUCUUCCAAAUGAAGCAUGCAUGCGUGAAUUAAGGCUUGAAUCCACCAUUUUCAAUCAAUAGAAAGCUAAGAGUUUUCCUUUACUCUUGAAGCUUGCAUUUAUUAAUUUCGUCUUGGGUUUGAGUUUGCAAGUAUUGGCAACUAAGUUAAGGUUUGGAAGGAUUAAGACGACUUGGGUGCUGAUGGAAGCAUUAAGCUCAGGAGUUGGAAGUAAAAGAUUUGUUGGAAGUUUUGAACGGUAUUUACAUGUCUGGAAAGCCGACGAAAUUCCCGUCGUUUGGGCGUCAAUCUCGUAUAAUUUUGACCAAUAUUGAAGUCGGGACACGCUUCUGAAGUUGAGGUUCUGAUGAUGUCAAUUUCUGGUUUUGGACUGCGAGUUUUACGCGCACAACUACACGAACGGAUACUUGAGAGCGUACGGAGCAGCUCGGUGACGCUGGAAUCUCAGAUAAACAGGUUGAUGAGCAGAGAGCUAUGGACCGGACGAAGUGAAGUGGCAUUGGAUGUUAUUGUCAUUGUUUAUCUGAAUAUUCUAUUAAGCUGUUGUAUAAGUUAGCGUCAUAGUAUAUUUGUAUUGAUUGGUUAUUUAUGGCUCUGAUGUAAGUUUUAAGUUACAUUAUGACAGGAAUGUUAUCAUUCAGUUUAGUCAAUACUUGUAUAAUGACAAGGCUUUUAUGUUUUAUGGGUAUAUACAACGAGUUUAAUUCAG